This 254-nucleotide ribosomal RNA is filed under the name uncultured bacterium. RNAcentral describes it as "partial 16S ribosomal RNA". It matches the Rfam family "Bacterial small subunit ribosomal RNA", at positions 524 to 776 of the family's 1533-position model. The record is from RNAcentral.
GACGAACCGUGCGAACGUUAUUCGGAAUCACUGGGCUUAAAGCGCGUGUAGGCGGGACGGCACGUCGGUCGCUGAAAUCCCCCGGCUCAACCGGGGAACGGGCGCCGAUACGACCGCCCUGGAGGGACGUAGGGGGACCUGGAACUUCCGGUGGAGCGGUGAAAUGCGUUGAGAUCGGAAGGAACGCCCGUGGCGAAAGCGGCUACCUGGACCAGCACUGACACUGAAGCACGAAAGCGUGGGGAGCAAACAGG